CCUACGGGAGGCAGCAGUAGGGAAUCUUCCACAAUGGGUGAAAGCCUGAUGGAGCAACGCCGCGUGGGUGAAGAAGGUCUUCGGAUCGUAAAACCCUGUUGUUAGAGAAGAAAGUGCGUGAGAGUAACUGUUCACGUUUCGACGGUAUCUAACCAGACAGCCACGGCUAACUCCGUGCCAGCAGCCGCGGUAAUCCUUAGUUGGCAAGCGUUAUCCGGAUUUAUUGGGCGUAAAGGGACAGCAGGCGGUCUUUUAAUUCUGAUGUGAAAGCCUUCGGCUUAACCGGAGUAGUGCAUUGGAAACGGGGAGACGUGAGUGCAGAAGAGGAGAGUGGAACUCCAGGUGUAGCGGUGAAAUGCGUAGAUAUAUGGAAGAACACCAGGGGCGAAAGCGGCUCUCUGGUCUGUAACUGACGCUGAGGUUCGAAAGCGUGGGUAGCAAACAGGAGUAGAUACCCUAGUAGUC
Molecule: ribosomal RNA, 465 nt
Filed under: uncultured bacterium
Lineage: Bacteria
Description: partial 16S ribosomal RNA
Rfam family: Bacterial small subunit ribosomal RNA
Source: RNAcentral